RNAcentral lists this ribosomal RNA (174 nucleotides) under uncultured bacterium. RNAcentral's name for it is "partial 16S ribosomal RNA". It matches the Rfam family "Bacterial small subunit ribosomal RNA", at positions 336 to 526 of the family's 1533-position model. The record is from RNAcentral.
CUCCUACGGGAGGCAGCAGUGGGGAAUUUUGCGCAAUGGGGGAAACCCUGACGCAGCAACGCCGCGUGGAGGAUGAAAUAUCUUGGUAUGUAAACUCCUUUCGAUGGGGAAGAUUAUGACGGUACCCACUACGAAGAAGCCCGGCUAACUUCGUGCCAGCAGCCGCGGUAAUAC